This 73-nucleotide transfer RNA is filed under the name Stegodyphus mimosarum. It matches the Rfam family "tRNA". Rfam says of the family: Transfer RNA (tRNA) molecules are approximately 80 nucleotides in length. Their secondary structure includes four short double-helical elements and three loops (D, anti-codon, and T loops). The record is from Rfam by way of RNAcentral. Lineage: Eukaryota; Metazoa; Arthropoda; Arachnida; Araneae; Eresidae.
GCCUUUGUGGUGUAGUGGUCAGCACGCUCGGCGCGUAUUCGAGAGGUCCGUAGUUCAAGUCUCGACGAAGACA